Phascolarctos cinereus (koala) is the source of this 2532-nucleotide non-coding RNA. The record is from RefSeq and is a predicted model, not a curated record. NCBI's taxonomy places the organism in Eukaryota, Metazoa, Chordata, Mammalia, Diprotodontia, Phascolarctidae.
CACUUAAAGACUUAGAGCGCCAUAUGUGGCCUUGAGGCCAUAGGUUCUCCACCCCUGGACUAGACAUUUAAAAGGUCUGUCAAUUUUAAAACUCCAGCUCUAUAUAUAGCAGGGGUUUUUAACCUACUCUGUAUCAUGGACCUAUUUGGCAGUCUGGUGAAGCCUCUGAUAGACAUUCUUAAAUGCUUAAUAUUAUCAAAGUAAGUCCAAAGACCCCAGGUUGAGAACACUGCUCUAUAAGAGGCCAAUAAAAGCAAGUGGCCCAAUGAUAUCACAACUCUGUGGCUUUUUUAAAAUCCAAAAUAUAUUAAGUGAAAAAGUAUGAAAGCCACUUUGCAUAAUUGGGAAACAAUUAGAAAAAGGCCAAAGUUUGAAUCUCUGCUAGUCACCACAUUAAUAACUUGCGGAAAGAUAAGAAAUAAACCCAGGGUACUACUGCUGUGACUCUCAAGGAAAAGUCAGGAGGCUUUCUAAUUCCAUAUUAAUGUUAGCAGUAAGAUACUAGAUUGUUGGGAAUGUCCCUCCUUCUAAGAGGCUUAGAAGGAUAAGCCCUAGUUUUUAAAGCUGUGGUUUCAUGUAAAAGACAUAAUGACAAGGCCAAAAUUCUAAUUAAGGCAUGUUAAAUUGUUCUGAUUACUAUGUAGCUCAGAAUUCUUUUUUUUAAAUUCCCAUUAAUUACCUUUUACAUUCUCUAGCUUGUGUUCAGCUCCUAUGUUCAGAUAUUUUGCCUCCAUUGAGAAAAUGGAGGUCUUCCUCAACUUUUCCAUUCUUCUCCAUGUUUUAAAACUAAUCUCAACAUUCUUGCAAUCCUUCCCUUUCUGACUCUAAGGAAAUGAAUGUCCUUUUCUCUGCCUUGAUUCCUUUCCUUCCCAUUUUUUCCAGGCUCUUGCAACAGUAAGCCACUUCAUCUAAUGGGUUCAUAUCAAACAUCACAAGGGAAGAACUUAUUCUACAUCUACAGAACCUUACAUCUAUUCUCUUCUAUUCUCACCAUCUCUGGAGUCCAAGACCCCUGGACCAAAAAGUUUCUUAACGUUCUUUCUACCUCCAAUAUUAAUUCUAUCCAUUCUCCAUACAAGUUCAGGGCUGAUCUUCUUUUGCACAAACCAAACCACUUUACUGCUCAAAACCUUUCAAUGACUACGUAAUUUCUUCUGAAUAAUAACUCCAAACUCCUUACACUGGCAUACAAGACUAACAACAAAAAAGAUGCCAACCUCCCUCUGUCCCCUUCACUCAUCCUUUUUAUAAUCUGUGUUAAAGUAAAUGUUUUCUAAUUGAUGCUCUACAAACAUUCCGUAAUUUCCAACCUCCACAUUUUUUUUUCAAGCAGGUUGCUGCAUCCUCCACCCAGCCUACUGUAUGACCCACACUGACUUGCAUUCAAUAAGCAUUUAUUAAUCACACACUCUUUUGCCAGGUACUGUUCCAAGUGCUAGGAUUAAAAAGAGGAGCCCACAUUGUAAUGGGAGAGACAACAAGCAUACAGGAUAUCUGAAACAGCUGAAGAUGCAAGGCUGAAGGGUCAGCAGAAGUCGGAGAGAAGGAUAGGUAGGUAUGAGAAUCAUCAGCACAGAUUAUGAUUAUGAGGUCAUGAAGUGAAACAGUAUAUAAAGGGAAGAGGAGGCAGCCCAGGACAGAGCCCUGUGGGAUAGUUAUGGUUAAUGGGUAUCACCUGGAUAAGGAUCCAGCAAAGGAAACUGAGGAGUCGCCUAGCAGUCUUUAAAGCCCAAAUAGCAACCAAGGCCAUCGUUUAAAUCCACUGAUAGUAAUUACACCUAAAGAGCUUCUGCUUCCUAAUAACAAAGGUUAGGAGUUAACCAUGGAAUUGGGUAUACCAGAUGCCAUUGUAAGAACCCAGGAAUAUCAAAGAAGACAAGAAAAGAACAGGGAGAGUAUCAGAAAAACCAAAGGACUUCUACUAAGGGAUAUACUGCUGAAAAAAAAAAUACAUGGCCUUGGAACUCAUUGGCUUACAUAUAAUGUUUGGAUAAACUAAUCAGUGUUUAAGAACUCUUAAUUUAUAAUCAUCUACUCAACAAAUAUUUCCUGGACACCCUCUCUUCCAGACUGACUACCACAGUUUUAAACCUGGAAAAGAUCUUCUAGCACCCAGCACUUGAGAAGUAUUCCAUGUUGAUCUGACUAGCAUUAUCUAGAGAGAGAAGUGAGACAAGUGCUGGAUUUGGAGUCAGAGGACCUAUAUUCAAAUUCUGGCUCUGCUACUAUAUAACCACAAUCAAUCAAAUUACCUCUUCAGGUCUCAAUUCCUCUUUGGUAAAAUGUGGGGGACAGGCUGGAUGACCUUUAAGUUCUUUUCCAGCUCUAAAUCGAUGAUCCUACAUCAGCUCAAUGUUUGCAAAUGAAGAAACAAAGGACCAGAGAAAUUAAGGGAGCUGCUGAAACUCACAUAAACAGUGAGAGAGCCAAGAUUAGAACCUGGUUCCUGGUGAAAUGUGCUUUCUACUACUCCACGCUCUUACCUCCUAAUUGGGGUCUGAUUAAAGUUGCUUCAUUAUGUGUUUCCUUUUC